Molecule: long non-coding RNA, 1565 nt
Organism: Aedes albopictus (Asian tiger mosquito)
Lineage: Eukaryota; Metazoa; Arthropoda; Insecta; Diptera; Culicidae
Exons: 2
Source: RefSeq, a predicted model, not a curated record
AGAAAAUAUUACACGCUAAAGCCCACACACUAAAAAAAUCUAACUCUAAAUUGAGUUUUUUUUCACACACACGCUAAGAAAAUCUAACUGUAAUCUUCGAGCCAGGGGGACAACACAAAAAUAUGUCAUGAGUAAAAUUUACACAGCGAACACGCUAAGAAAAUGUUACAUACCGGUUACAUACUCACAUUUUGCGUAAAUUAGCUUUUAGCGCUUGUUUAGAAAACGUUUCGAAACGAAUGAAAUGCACGCUAAGAAAAUGUUACAUACCGGCUGUGUUAAAUUCACUCAUCGAAUCGUUCCGUGCACAAGAACGCUUCGGUGAGUAAAAAUUUUGCUCAUAAUAUAGUAACUGCUUCCAUACUCACAUUUUGUGUAAAUGAGCUUUUAGCGUUUGUUCCGAAAACGUUUCGAAAUGGAGACAGAUUGUUUUUAAACGCAGGGGGUAUGACACUUCCUUUGCUAACCGGAAAAAUCCGCAUUUAUCCGUUGCUAACCGUCGUUAACCGCGUCUAAUUGCUGCUCAGCUUAGCAGCGGUUACCGACGGUUAGGAACGGAUAAAUGCGGAUUUUCCGGUUAGAAAAGGAUAUGUCAUUCCCCUUGUUUAAACGUCAAGUUUCGAAACAAAUUCCACAUCGGAAGCUUGUUUUUGCUCGUAAAUUUUUUUAUAAUGUGUUCCGCAGCUUCUUAUUCCGGUCGAGAUUCCGGUGCACCACAACAAAACUGUCCCAGAAUGGACGAGCACUCGAUGGACAAAGCAGCCUUGAAGGAAAAUCCUCAUCCGAUAAAAGUCAACGGUUUCAUCUCCAAGAGGUCUCCAGCCGGCCGUGGAAUGAAUCAUCCCGCUGCUCGUCAGAAGUGGCUCAAUUUCGUUCCAGAAAAUGGGAAUUCAUAUUUCAAAAGAGUAAUAUAAAAACUUUUAAAGUAAUUCCAGAUUUUACUUCCGGCGCGGUUGAAAAUCUGAAUUUUUGACACGUAAGAGUCGUAUUUUACGUCGUAUAUGGAAGCAGUUACUCACAUUAUGAGCAAAAUUUUUACUCACCGAAGCGUUCGAAGUGCACGAAACGGUUCGAUGAGUGAAUUUAACACAGCCGGUAUGUAACACGCUAAGGCGUGCAUUUCAUUCGUUUCGAAACGUUUUCUAAACAAGCGCUGUUGAAAAUCUGAAUUUUAGCACGCGAUUGUCGAUUUUUCUUCGCACGUCGAACCUAACGUUGCUCAUUCCGCUUGACGUACGACGUAAAAUACGACUCUUACGUGCCAAAAUUCAGAUUUUCAACCGCGCUGGAAGUAAAAUCUGGAAUUUACUCAUUUAUAUUAUGUUUUUAUUCGUUUUGAUGCAUUACUUUGUAUUUUUGUAUGAACCGUAUGCCAUAUUUUUGUUUUACCAUAUGUCACGCCAGUAAAUUGAACAGCUACAGCAGUUCCAGGAAGAUUUACUGAAUCCCGGACAUCCAUCAGACGUGUUCACAUGACAGAAUACUCUACUUUGCCUUUGACAAGAAUUGUUCCAAAUAUCACUUUCCGUCUGCAGAUGCAACCGCAUCCGCUUCAGCUGUGCAGU